Non-coding RNA from Cricetulus griseus (Chinese hamster), 64 nucleotides. Lineage: Eukaryota; Metazoa; Chordata; Mammalia; Rodentia; Cricetidae. The record is from Rfam.
AUGUAGCUCAGUUGGCAGAGUACUUGCUUUGCAUUCAUGAAGCCCUGGGUUCAAUUCCCAGCAU